UACGAAGGGUGCAAGCGUUAAUCGGAAUUACUGGGCGUAAAGCGUGCGUAGGCGGUUUGUUAAGUCUGCUGUGAAAUCCCCGGGCUCAACCUGGGAAUGGCAGUGGAUACUGGCAAGCUAGAGUGUGUCAGAGGAUGGUGGAAUUCCCGGUGUAGCGGUGAAAUGCGCAGAUAUCAGGAAGAACACCCGUGGCGAAGGCAGCUCUCUGGGACGGUACUGGACGCUGAGACGCGAAAGCGUGGGGAGCGAACAGG
Molecule: ribosomal RNA, 254 nt
Filed under: uncultured bacterium
Lineage: Bacteria
Description: partial 16S ribosomal RNA
Rfam family: Bacterial small subunit ribosomal RNA
Source: RNAcentral